This 90-nucleotide transfer RNA is filed under the name Cellulomonas biazotea. Its description in RNAcentral is "tRNA-Asp". The record is from RNAcentral. Lineage: Bacteria; Bacillati; Actinomycetota; Actinomycetes; Micrococcales; Cellulomonadaceae.
UCGUCGACCGCACCGGCGGGUGCGGCGGCGUCGCCGUCGGUGGAGACGUCAGCGGUGCCGUCGGGGGUGCUCGGGGCGUCCUCGACGACC